UUUAUUACUGCAGUCGGACACACUCA
RNAcentral lists this non-coding RNA (26 nucleotides) under Rattus norvegicus (Norway rat). The record is from RNAcentral. Lineage: Eukaryota; Metazoa; Chordata; Mammalia; Rodentia; Muridae.